AUGUUCCCUUGCACCCCAGGUUUCAGAGUUAUGGCGAGAUUUCCAAGAGCCCGAAACCUCCCAGCUCGUCGAGGUAGGUCAUCUUCAUCUGAUGCGCGUUCCAGCUGUUGGAAGACAAAAGAAGCAGACGAACAGAGUGAUUUGCCAUUGGCCUGUGAGAAAAGAGAAUGGAAAGGUGCAACUUGCCCAGUUUGCUUGGAGCAUCCACAUGAUGCCGUCCUCCUCCUCUGUACUUCUCACCACAAGGGUUGCCGGCCUUAUAUGUGUGGCACCAACUACCAUCACUCUAACUGUCUUGAACACUUCAAAGAAGCUUAUGCGAAAGAGAAAUUGGCCCUUGGUGAUUCCGCCGAGUCCGCACUUAACCUUCCAUUUUCUCCAAACACAGAACCAGCAAACAAGCAUCCAUCUACAAUGGAACUUGCAUGCCCUCUGUGCCGUGGGGAUGUUAAAGGAUGGACUGUGGUUGAACCUGCUCGUCAGUAUCUCAACCGCAAGAAGAGAGCAUGUGUGCAUGAUGCCUGCUCGUUCGUUGGUUCAUAUAGAGAACUUUGCAAGCAUGUGAACUCCAAACACCCUUCAGCAAAACCUCGUGAGGUUGAUCCUGCACUUGCAAGUGAGUGGAAAAAGUUUGAAUGUGAAAGAGAGCGCCAGGAUGCAAUCAGUACUAUCAGGGCUUCGAACCCAGGAGCUGUGAUUAUGGGGGAUUAUGUACUUGAAUUGAACGGUGGCAGCAACAACAGUAUGUUCGCCGAUGGAGAUGAAUUUGACUUGGAGAGACUCAACUUCUUCACUUCCAUGGAUCGCACCCUGAACGAGAGGAUCGACUUCUAUGAAUCUUCAGAAGGUAGUUUGGAUGAGAGCAUCGACUUCCUGGCAUCCUUAUUUGGCCGUGGCAGGCGGAUCACAAGUGGAGACUCACACAGCAGGGCUUACAGAAGGCACAGGGAGAGGCCUAGGCGUAACCACCUGGGCAUAUCAGUUGAUUCUUCUGAUAUCCGGCAAGAUCCAGUCAACACUCAAAGGGGGCAGCGAGUUGCUGCUGUUCGAGGGAGAGCCCCACGGCGGCACCAUCCUAUGGUGACUCACGUGAGGUCGACACGUGGGAGCUGA
Molecule: ribosomal RNA, 1113 nt
Filed under: Triticum aestivum (bread wheat)
Lineage: Eukaryota; Viridiplantae; Streptophyta; Magnoliopsida; Poales; Poaceae
Description: partial small subunit ribosomal RNA
Source: RNAcentral